AACUCACUUCGGACAGUUGGAGUGCAUGAAACUGUGCGCCUCACCUCACUUCCCCGA
This 57-nucleotide transfer RNA is filed under the name Tiarina fusus. RNAcentral describes it as "Tiarina fusa partial Selenocysteine transfer RNA". Lineage: Eukaryota; Ciliophora; Prostomatea; Prorodontida; Colepidae. The record is from RNAcentral.